AACGAACGCUGGCGGCAUGCCUAACACAUGCAAGUCGAACGAGACCUUCGGGUCUAGUGGCGCACGGGUGCGUAACGCGUGGGAACCUGCCCUUAGGUUCGGAAUAACUCCCCGAAAGGGGUGCUAAUACCGGAUAUUGUCUUCGGACCAAAGAUUUAUCGCCUUUGGAUGGGCCCGCGUUGGAUUAGCUGGUUGGUAGGGUAAAAGCCUACCAAGGCGACGAUCCAUAGAUGGUCUGAGAGGAUGAUCAGCCACACUGGGACUGAGACACGGCCCAGACUCCUACGGGAGGCAGCAGUGGGGAAUAUUGGACAAUGGGCGAAAGCCUGAUCCAGCAAUGCCGCGUGAGUGAUGAAGGCCUUAGGGUUGUAAAGCUCUUUUACCCGGGAUGAUAAUGACAUUACCGGGAGAAUAAGCUCCGGCUAACUCCGUG
This 433-nucleotide ribosomal RNA is filed under the name uncultured bacterium. RNAcentral describes it as "partial 16S ribosomal RNA". It matches the Rfam family "Bacterial small subunit ribosomal RNA", at positions 29 to 507 of the family's 1533-position model. The record is from RNAcentral.